AGUGAACGCUGGCGGUAGGCCUAACACAUGCAAGUCGAACGGCAGCACAGUAAGAGCUUGCUCUUACGGGUGGCGAGUGGCGGACGGGUGAGGAAUACAUCGUAAUCUACUUUUUCGUGGGGGAUAACGUAGGGAAACUUACGCUAAUACCGCAUACGACCUACGGGUGAAAGCAUGGGAUCUUCGGACCUUGCGCGAUUGAAUGAGCCGAUGUUGGAUUAGCUAGUUGGCGGGGUAAAGGCCCACCGAGGCGACGAUCCGUGGCUGGUCUGAGAGGAUGAUCAGCGACACUGGAGCUGAGACGCGAUCCAGACUCCUACGGGAGGCAGCAGUGGGGAAUAUUGGACAAUGGGCGGAAGCCUGAUCCAGCCAUACCGCGUGGGUGAAGAAGGCCUUCGGGUUGUAAAGCCCUUUUGUUGGGAAAGAAAAGCAGCAGGUUAAAACCCCGCUGUUCUGACGGUACCCAAAGAGUAAACACCGGCUAACUUCGU
RNAcentral lists this ribosomal RNA (491 nucleotides) under uncultured bacterium. Its description in RNAcentral is "partial 16S ribosomal RNA". It matches the Rfam family "Bacterial small subunit ribosomal RNA", at positions 29 to 506 of the family's 1533-position model. The record is from RNAcentral.